UGCGUAGGAGACGAGCGUUGUCCGGAGUUACUGGGCGUAAAGGGUGCGCAGGUGGCGGCGCGCGUGGGGGGUGAAAUCGCCCGGCUUAACUGGGCGGGGGCCUUCCAGACGGCGUGGCUUGAGCAGCGGAGGGGGACGUGGAAUUCCGGGUGGAGCGGUGAAAUGCGUAGAGAUCCGGAGGAACACCGACGGCGCAGGCAGCGUCCUGGCCCGCUUGCUGACACUGAGGCACGAAAGCUGGGGGAGCAAACAGG
RNAcentral lists this ribosomal RNA (254 nucleotides) under uncultured bacterium. RNAcentral describes it as "partial 16S ribosomal RNA". It matches the Rfam family "Bacterial small subunit ribosomal RNA", at positions 524 to 776 of the family's 1533-position model. The record is from RNAcentral.